CCCAUUCAUGAAGACGGACUGCAGAGAUCUUGUUCCCGGGCCACGGGCGGCGACGGCUCGCGGAUUUAGGGUUCGGGAGGGAGGGCGACGGGGAGGGGUUUGGAGGUGCGGUGGCGGCGGCGCCUGCGCGCACGGUGAGGGGCCGGCGGCGCGAGCGACGCGGCGGAGACGGUGCCGGCGCGCGCGGUGAGCGGGACCACGCGACGUCGAGGAGUGCGGCCACGUCGGCACCCUAGGUAGCGCCAGGGACGACCUGGAAGAAGAAGUCGACGCAGCCACGCAGGGGUCGCCGGACGAGGCAUAGGCGAGCGCCCGCCGGGACCGCGGCGCCUCCUUCGCCAUCGGAGGGCGACUCCUCGCGGGUGAGCUCGGGAUCCGCAGCGGCAGCGACGUUGGUGCUGAGGGCGGCGGCAGCCACAGCCAUGGGGGGCCCGAGGAGCGCGACGGAGGCGGGCGUGGCCAUGGCUAAGGCGGCGGCGGGAGGGUUUGGGUUUUCUGAUUGCAGCGAGAUCGAAUCGAUGGGGUUCCUGGAUCCGUAACCCUAGCCUGGAAGCCGCGCCGCCGCCGCCUGGAAGCUGCCCGCCGCCGCCGGGUACUCGGAUUCGCGCCAUCCGCCGACGCGCGGGGCCGCGCCCUCCACUGGCCGCCUGUCCGCUCGCCACCCCUUCCGCACGAUAGCUGCUGGCCUUGGGUUGGACGAGGGUGCCUUUGCCCCGGACCCGAACGGCCAUACCGACCUGCAGUGCCUCGGGCUGGCCAGGGCCUUGCAGCCGAUGGCCUCGGUGCAAGCAAUGGAGAGCCCGUCGAAGCUUCACGGUGAGCAGGCUCGCCUACUGGAUCAUCUACUCCUUCAUCACGCUCAUGGAUAUGGUGCUCGAGUCCCUCAUCUACUGAUACUCAGAAUCCCGAUUUGGUAUGAGCUGAAGCUGCUGUUCAUCGCGUGGCUGAUGCUCCCCAACUUCAUGGGCGCGGUCUUCAUCUACGACAAGUUCGUCGUCAGGGAGCAUCUCCAGAAGCACGGCCUCGCCGCCAGUGUCGGCUCCAGCGGCAAGGUCAAGAAGGACGACAAGUCGCCAUCCUCUUCUCCCAAGGACAAGCAGAAGCCCAAGAGCAAGUUUCCUCGCCUUUGUCACCCCAAGAAGGAUCAUGGAGCUUACUAAAGCAGGGUGCGGGCGGCUUGUCGAGGCACAGCCUGAGGGGAGACGUAACCAUAAAAAAUAAAUGGGAAUUUGCCAUCAGCAUUGUUUUAUGGUUGCCUAAUUUAUUGCUCUAGAAGAAGAUAAGAUAGAUUUGUUUUAACCAAUCUCGUGUAGAGUUCUGCUUCGAGGUUUAGUGUUGAGAUGAAUUCUUGAGCUAAGAAUGUGCUGUACAAAUCCUUGAUAGCCAUUAAUAUGAUAUAAUAUUAUUUUUCAUAUGGAUAUCUAAAUGAUUGAAUCUACCAACCUGGCAGGAUGGGUGACUAGGCACAAGGAGAUGCAUGUGCCAUAAGUCCUAUGUUAACCUUUGAGAUCAAGCAUUCCACUUUUGGGGAUAAUGUUAACACUUGGCUAUUCACUUCUCACCUAAGACUCAUCUUCAGGUUUUGCAUGAUGGUUUUGAAAUAUUUUUGGAACGCCUUAUUAAAGAGAUCAGGUGCGCAUAGCUUAGUUACUGGCACUUUAUGAUUUUCUAAUUUAUUUGCAUUCCAUAUUUGUGGAAGAUGCUCGAUUUUCUCUCCGUUUUGUUUAUCUUGUAAGUGUAGAUAGAUAGUUAGAUGUGGUAUGUGUUAGAAAAUCAGCACCAGUUCAACGUUUGCUUGCUGGUUUUGGGGACUGCAUGAGCUAAGAGAAGAGACUAUUUUUUUUUCUUUUGAUUGACAUCCUAAAAUCUCUCCUUUUGUUUUCUUUUGGUUGUGAGCUGAUUAUCUUUCUUUUUGUGCGCUGAUUAACAUACUCUGGUUAACAUUCGUUGGUUAACUUUCUAAAUAAUGUUUCCUAAUAACUUUCUAAAUGUUUCUGUGUUGUGGACACAUUAUUUGGCAAGAAGUAUCAACGCAAGAAGAAGCAGGCGAUGUCCAGUUGUCCACAACGGAUUAGUCUAAGUUUAUUUCCUUUUUUGUUAGUUCGGCUGUUUUCUAGGGGGGUUUUUAGUUAUUUCCAAACUCUAUAAAUGUAAGGGCUGGCGGCUCAUUAGGGUUUUGAGCAGAAAGAUAAUCCCUCAAGAACUCAGAGCCUCUUAGGAGGGCGAGUUGGGUGUUAUCAAUCUGCCAUUGUAAUCAGGUUUAGACUCAAGCCAUAUCAUUCUGUGUGAUAUGUCACACAAUAUUUAUUUUCAGAUGACUUGUUCAGCCAAAGCAAAAAUUCAGAAUUUCAGAUCUUGGACCAAUGUAUUCGAUAAAAUGCCCACCAUGAAUCCGUACCAAAGCUGUGCUCUACAAAUCGGAGAUGGCAAAGUACUUCACAGCUUACAAGAUAGGACACAUCUUGGGCUUCUUUAUGAUAUGGGAGAAGUCAUAUCUGUGUUGUGUUCCUCUUCAUCAGUCCUUGUCGAAACACUUCUGAAGGCAAAGGGGUUUUUGGCGUAGACCCAGAUAAGAGGAGCAUGCGAGGCUCUUUGUGAAAGACUACUGAACAUAGGCAAGGAUCAACAAAGGGCAAAAACAUAUCAGUAAAAGUAAGCUUUUAAUCACAUAAUGCACUUUAUUUUGCAAUUGUGAAAUCAGAAUUAGGAAGAGGGUGGGUGACACAGGGAGUUAUGAGAUCCUGAAAUAAGUCGAUAGCAAGCGGGCAAACAUAGUGGAAAAAGAAUGACGUCUUACUGUCUACCUAAUGACACAGACACUGUAGAACACAUGCAUUCUGUAGGUCUGAACUUUGUGUGUGUGGCAUGAAGCAUCCCAUCCCCGUUUCAUUGAUGGGUUUGGACCCGUUUCGGAGUCCAAGGUGGUUCGGACCUGAUGCUGCGUGGCAGCGUGGGACAGUAAUUGCCAUGCCAUCUCAUAUCUCAUAUCAGCUCAUUCUCCCAUGAAAUUUUGUUAUGUCAUGCCAUUGGUGGACCAGAGGCUUUUUCAGAAAGAAUGUUGAAUGAAAUCAUAGAUUGAAAAUCUGCAAAUGAUUAUGCCCUUAUGGAAACUGAAUCUGUUGUGGAAGAGGUAUGCACUUUCCUAAACUUUGUAAAUGCAUUUUUGUUACCAUUAGAGAAUAUGGAAUUGUUGGUCCUGCAUAUGACAUCAAUUUACCACAUAAGUUUUGGCUUCUUCUUUACUAUCUCUAUGUAAUUUUUUUAAAUUUGGAGAUAUCUAAAUAUAUCUUUUAAGUCAAAAAAUUUACUUCAGUAUAUUUAUAUGAUACCUCUUAAUGGAAAAAAGUACUUAACUAUCUAUGUACUUUCAUAAUUUACAGUAAUGAUCAAUUUCAGUCUCUCAAGAAAAUAGGAAGCUCUUAGGAUAAUUUGGCAUGAAUGUCUCGACAUUAAAAUAGAUACAAAGUCACAGUAGUGCUUAAUUAUGAGGAAUAUCUAACCAUGUGUCUGUACAUCUGAAGCUUUGACUUGUUUGAUUUGUGAAGUGCAAGUGAAUCUGGAUGCCCUUUGCUAUUUUUAGGAUUUGCAUAGACUAGUGGAAAAAUUGUUGAGUCUGACAGAUCAAAUGCUAUCACAUUCAUCUUAAGAUCUUAAGAGCACUACAGAAGCAACAAGAUUUCAUCCAUUCAUCCAGUAGUUUGUCAGAAUAUCUCUUUCCUUAGGACCUGUAGGUUGGUCUUCACGUAAGUUAGAUUAUAAGUUUCACCUUUAAUUAAUGUAUGCCUGGGAGAAUGUAGAGAUCGAGAGGAAGACAAUGUAGUUGUGCCAAUUUGUACUUUCACAUAACACAUCCAACAAUUCGUUUGCAUACUUUGGAAUUUGGAAUAUGUACAUGGAGCAUGAAUAUUAUUUAAGGCAAAUUGUAUGCCUCUAUAAUAUGGGGCUUGGAGUUGCUGAUU
RNA transcript from Panicum virgatum (switchgrass), 3959 nucleotides. It is a transcript of the gene named HVA22-like protein e, with no coding region annotated. The transcript has 9 exons. NCBI's taxonomy places the organism in Eukaryota, Viridiplantae, Streptophyta, Magnoliopsida, Poales, Poaceae. The record is from RefSeq and is a predicted model, not a curated record.